This is an RNA transcript of Rhodamnia argentea, 1066 nucleotides long. It is a transcript of the gene named IMPACT family member in pol 5'region, with no coding region annotated. NCBI's taxonomy places the organism in Eukaryota, Viridiplantae, Streptophyta, Magnoliopsida, Myrtales, Myrtaceae. The transcript has 7 exons. The record is from RefSeq and is a predicted model, not a curated record.
UCUGAAAAAUGACAUGCCCGUCACUAGGAAGUGGCGAAAACAUGAGUAUUAACGGUUCCAACCACCAUUUUCACCAGCUCGUGAGCCGCCGUAUCUCUCCCUCUCAGCUCUUCGCCGCCAUCGUCGGUCCACGGAGAUCGAUGGUCAUGGCGGCCGCCGCUUCCUCCCCGGGCACCAGCAGCAACGGCCGCCGCGGUGGUGCUUACACGACGAUCAAGGAGAAAGUCGUGGUCGAGAGAGAAAUCAAGAAGAGCAAAUUCAUCGCGAUCGCCGGCUCUGUCUCCGACGAGCAAUCUGCCUUCUCAUUUCUCUCCCAGGUCAGGGAUCCGCGCGCAACUCAUAAUUGUUGGGCUUAUAAGGUGGGAGCUCAAUACAGGUCUAAUGACGAUGGAGAACCCUCGGGUACUGCUGGAAAACCUAUUUACUCUGCGAUUGAAUCUUCAGGGAUCGAUAGAGUGAUGGUUGUAGUUAUAAGGCACUUUGGAGGUAUUAAACUAGGUACAGGAGGGCUGGUGAGAGCAUACGGUGGAGUUGCAUCAGAGUGCUUAAAGAAUGCCCCGACUUGUCUGGUGAAAUCUAAAGUUCCGAUGGGUGUGGAGAUUCCUUACGAGCUAUUGGGAGUUCUAUAUCAUCAGUUACAGGCUUUCCAUGCUGAGGAUGUCAAGCAGGACUAUGAGACUGGUAAAGACGUUACUACCAUGGUUACCUUCAAGGUUGAUUACGACCAGAUGGAGAAAUUGGAAGAAGCUAUCAAAGCAAAUUGUGGUCGCGAUGUUCCAUUGUAUAAAUCCUGACGGACUCUUGCUCAUCUAUGUUUUCUGUGGGACGGUCUUGUCCGUGCGUCUGAUCCUGUGAUGACAGGAUGCUGGUAAAUAACAGGUGGGUAGAUGCUCUCUUGAUCAUGGUUACCGAGACCGUGGCCUGUUAUUGAUCUUGCUCGACAAUGGUAACCAGGCAUCCAUGGUUGAAGAAUUCCCAAAGGGUUGAUUUACUUGUAGUGUGGAGUCAUUCGGGAGAUUCCGAUGGAUUAGUCGUCGUCACAGAGAGCACCUUGUGAAAUCAAUAG